RNAcentral lists this ribosomal RNA (63 nucleotides) under Thermotogaceae bacterium. Its description in RNAcentral is "partial 23S ribosomal RNA". Lineage: Bacteria; Thermotogati; Thermotogota; Thermotogae; Thermotogales; Thermotogaceae. The record is from RNAcentral.
GGGGGUAUCCCCUAUUUAAAGAAUAAUGAGGUUUUUGAUAAAUUUCAAUACUUUUAGUUAACA